UACGUAGGAGGCAAGCGUUAUCCGGAAUGACUGGGCGUAAAGGGUGCGUAGGUGGUUUGACAAGUUAGUAGCGCAACUCCGGAGCUCAACUUCGGAACUACUACUAAAACUGUACGACUUGAGUGCAGUAGAGGUUAGUGGAAUUCCUAGUGUAGCGGUGGAAUGCGUAGAUAUUAGGAGGAACACCAGAGGCGAAGGCGGCUAACUGGACUGUAACUGACGCUGAGGCACGAAAGUGUGGGGAGCAAACAGG
RNAcentral lists this ribosomal RNA (253 nucleotides) under uncultured Eubacteriales bacterium. RNAcentral describes it as "uncultured Clostridiales bacterium partial 16S ribosomal RNA". It matches the Rfam family "Bacterial small subunit ribosomal RNA", at positions 524 to 776 of the family's 1533-position model. Lineage: Bacteria; Bacillati; Bacillota; Clostridia; Eubacteriales. The record is from RNAcentral.